GCGGGUGUAGUUCAAUGGCAGAACGCCAGCUUCCCAAGCUGGACGCGUGGGUUCGAUUCCCAUCAUCCGCU
This 71-nucleotide transfer RNA is filed under the name Clostridiales bacterium. Its description in RNAcentral is "tRNA-Gly". It matches the Rfam family "tRNA". Rfam says of the family: Transfer RNA (tRNA) molecules are approximately 80 nucleotides in length. The record is from RNAcentral. Lineage: Bacteria; Bacillati; Bacillota; Clostridia; Eubacteriales.